CAGCAGUAGCCGCGGGAAUACGUAGGGUGCGAGCGUUAAUCGGAAUUACUGGGCGUAAAGCGUGCGCAGGCGGUUCGUUAAGACAGAUGUGAAAUCCCCGGGCUUAACCUGGGAACUGCAUUUGUGACUGGCGAGCUGGAGUAUGGCAGAGGGGGGUAGAAUUCCACGUGUAGCAGUGAAAUGCGUAGAGAUGUGGAGGAAUACCGAUGGCGAAGGCAGCCCCCUGGGCCAAUACUGACGCUCAUGCACGAAAGCGUGGGGAGCAAACAGGAUUAGAUACCCCAGUAGUCCCUGUCUCUUAUAA
RNAcentral lists this ribosomal RNA (304 nucleotides) under uncultured bacterium. Its description in RNAcentral is "partial 16S ribosomal RNA". It matches the Rfam family "Bacterial small subunit ribosomal RNA", at positions 506 to 809 of the family's 1533-position model. The record is from RNAcentral.